GGGUUGUGAGGUUAAGCGACUAAGCGUACACGGUGGAUGCCCUGGCAGUCAGAGGCGAUGAAGGACGUGCUAAUCUGCGAUAAGCGUCGGUAAGGUGAUAUGAACCGUUAUAACCGGCGAUUUCCGAAUGGGGAAACCCAGUGUGAUUCGUCACACUAUCAUUAACUGAAUCCAUAGGUUAAUGAGGCGAACCGGGGGAACUGAAACAUCUAAGUACCCCGAGGAAAAGAAAUCAACCGAGAUUCCCCCAGUAGCGGCGAGCGAACGGGGAGCAGCCCAGAGCCUGAAUCAGUGUGUGUGUUAGUGGAAGCGUCUGGAAAGGCGCGCGAUACAGGGUGACAGCCCCGUACACAAAAAUGCACAUGCUGUGAGCUCGAUGAGUAGGGCGGGACACGUGGUAUCCUGUCUGAAUAUGGGGGGACCAUCCUCCAAGGCUAAAUACUCCUGACUGACCGAUAGUGAACCAGUACCGUGAGGGAAAGGCGAAAAGAACCCCGGCGAGGGGAGUGAAAAAGAACCUGAAACCGUGUACGUACAAGCAGUGGGAGCACGCUUCGGCGUGUGACUGCGUACCUUUUGUAUAAUGGGUCAGCGACUUAUAUUCUGUAGCAAGGUUAACCGAAUAGGGGAGCCGAAGGGAAACCGAGUCUUAACUGGGCGUUAAGUUGCAGGGUAUAGACCCGAAACCCGGUGAUCUAGCCAUGGGCAGGUUGAAGGUUGGGUAACACUAACUGGAGGACCGAACCGACUAAUGUUGAAAAAUUAGCGGAUGACUUGUGGCUGGGGGUGAAAGGCCAAUCAAACCGGGAGAUAGCUGGUUCUCCCCGAAAGCUAUUUAGGUAGCGCCUCGUGAAUUCAUCUCCGGGGGUAGAGCACUGUUUCGGCAAGGGGGUCAUCCCGACUUACCAACCCGAUGCAAACUGCGAAUACCGGAGAAUGUUAUCACGGGAGACACACGGCGGGUGCUAACGUCCGUCGUGAAGAGGGAAACAACCCAGACCGCCAGCUAAGGUCCCAAAGUCAUGGUUAAGUGGGAAACGAUGUGGGAAGGCCCAGACAGCCAGGAUGUUGGCUUAGAAGCAGCCAUCAUUUAAAGAAAGCGUAAUAGCUCACUGGUCGAGUCGGCCUGCGCGGAAGAUGUAACGGGGCUAAACCAUGCACCGAAGCUGCGGCAGCGACGCUUAUGCGUUGUUGGGUAGGGGAGCGUUCUGUAAGCCUGUGAAGGUGUGCUGUGAGGCAUGCUGGAGGUAUCAGAAGUGCGAAUGCUGACAUAAGUAACGAUAAAGCGGGUGAAAAGCCCGCUCGCCGGAAGACCAAGGGUUCCUGUCCAACGUUAAUCGGGGCAGGGUGAGUCGACCCCUAAGGCGAGGCCGAAAGGCGUAGUCGAUGGGAAACAGGUUAAUAUUCCUGUACUUGGUGUUACUGCGAAGGGGGGACGGAGAAGGCUAUGUUGGCCGGGCGACGGUUGUCCCGGUUUAAGCGUGUAGGCUGGUUUUCCAGGCAAAUCCGGAAAAUCAAGGCUGAGGCGUGAUGACGAGGCACUACGGUGCUGAAGCAACAAAUGCCCUGCUUCCAGGAAAAGCCUCUAAGCAUCAGGUAACAUCAAAUCGUACCCCAAACCGACACAGGUGGUCAGGUAGAGAAUACCAAGGCGCUUGAGAGAACUCGGGUGAAGGAACUAGGCAAAAUGGUGCCGUAACUUCGGGAGAAGGCACGCUGAUAUGUAGGUGAAGUCCCUCGCGGAUGGAGCUGAAAUCAGUCGAAGAUACCAGCUGGCUGCAACUGUUUAUUAAAAACACAGCACUGUGCAAACACGAAAGUGGACGUAUACGGUGUGACGCCUGCCCGGUGCCGGAAGGUUAAUUGAUGGGGUCAGCGCAAGCGAAGCUCUUGAUCGAAGCCCCGGUAAACGGCGGCCGUAACUAUAACGGUCCUAAGGUAGCGAAAUUCCUUGUCGGGUAAGUUCCGACCUGCACGAAUGGCGUAAUGAUGGCCAGGCUGUCUCCACCCGAGACUCAGUGAAAUUGAACUCGCUGUGAAGAUGCAGUGUACCCGCGGCAAGACGGAAAGACCCCGUGAACCUUUACUAUAGCUUGACACUGAACAUUGAGCCUUGAUGUGUAGGAUAGGUGGGAGGCUUUGAAGUGUGGACGCCAGUCUGCAUGGAGCCGACCUUGAAAUACCACCCUUUAAUGUUUGAUGUUCUAACGUUGACCCGUAAUCCGGGUUGCGGACAGUGUCUGGUGGGUAGUUUGACUGGGGCGGUCUCCUCCUAAAGAGUAACGGAGGAGCACGAAGGUUGGCUAAUCCUGGUCGGACAUCAGGAGGUUAGUGCAAUGGCAUAAGCCAGCUUGACUGCGAGCGUGACGGCGCGAGCAGGUGCGAAAGCAGGUCAUAGUGAUCCGGUGGUUCUGAAUGGAAGGGCCAUCGCUCAACGGAUAAAAGGUACUCCGGGGAUAACAGGCUGAUACCGCCCAAGAGUUCAUAUCGACGGCGGUGUUUGGCACCUCGAUGUCGGCUCAUCACAUCCUGGGGCUGAAGUAGGUCCCAAGGGUAUGGCUGUUCGCCAUUUAAAGUGGUACGCGAGCUGGGUUUAGAACGUCGUGAGACAGUUCGGUCCCUAUCUGCCGUGGGCGCUGGAGAACUGAGGGGGGCUGCUCCUAGUACGAGAGGACCGGAGUGGACGCAUCACUGGUGUUCGGGUUGUCAUGCCAAUGGCACUGCCCGGUAGCUAAAUGCGGAAGAGAUAAGUGCUGAAAGCAUCUAAGCACGAAACUUGCCCCGAGAUGAGUUCUCCCUGACUCCUUGAGAGUCCUGAAGGAACGUUGAAGACGACGACGUUGAUAGGCCGGGUGUGUAAGCGCAGCGAUGCGUUGAGCUAACCGGUACUAAUGAACCGUGAGGCUUAACCUUACAACGCCGAAG
This 2925-nucleotide ribosomal RNA is filed under the name Escherichia coli. Its description in RNAcentral is "bacterial LSU rRNA". It matches the Rfam family "Bacterial large subunit ribosomal RNA". The record is from RNAcentral. Lineage: Bacteria; Pseudomonadati; Pseudomonadota; Gammaproteobacteria; Enterobacterales; Enterobacteriaceae.